Molecule: ribosomal RNA, 435 nt
Filed under: uncultured bacterium
Lineage: Bacteria
Description: partial 16S ribosomal RNA
Rfam family: Bacterial small subunit ribosomal RNA
Source: RNAcentral
GAUGAACGCUGGCGGUAUGCUUAACACAUGCAAGUCGAACGGACUCUUCGGAGUUAGUGGCGGACGGGUGAGUAACGCGUGAGAAUCUGGCUUUGGGUUCGGGACAACCACUGGAAACGGUGGCUAAUACCGGAUGUGCCGAGAGGUAUAAGAGAAAUUGCCUGAAGAUGAGCUCGCGUCUGAUUAGCUGGUUGGUGAGGUAAAGGCUCACCAAGGCAGCGAUCAGUAGCUGGUCUGAGAGGAUGACCAGCCACACUGGGACUGAGACACGGCCCAGACUCCUAGGGGAGGCAGCAGUGGGGAAUUGUCCGCAAUGGGCGAAAGCCUGACGGAGCAAUACCGCGUGAGGGAAGAAGGCUCUUGGGUUGUAAACCUCUGUGCUUAGGGAGGAACAAAAUGACGGUACCUAAGGAAUCAGCAUCGGCUAACUCCGUG